Molecule: non-coding RNA, 200 nt
Filed under: Noviherbaspirillum massiliense
Lineage: Bacteria; Pseudomonadati; Pseudomonadota; Betaproteobacteria; Burkholderiales; Oxalobacteraceae
Source: RNAcentral
UCUGGUGCCCGCGCGCAUGUCCAUGCGUGCAGUUAAACGGGAAACACGGCGCUGUGCAUGACACAGCCAACGUGUGCUGCCCCCGCAACGGUAAAACAAGCGUCACCGCCUCAUCGUGACCGGCAAGCCUUCGAGCCACUGUGCAGUCUGCAUGGGAAGGCAGCUUGCCCGACUUGUUAGCCCGGAUACCGGCCAGGACA